AGAUUGAACGCUGGCGGAAUGCCUUACACAUGCAAGUCGAACGGCAGCACGGGAGCAAUCCUGGUGGCGAGUGGCGAACGGGUGAGUAAUACAUCGGAACGUGCCCAAUCGUGGGGGAUAACGUAGCGAAAGCUACGCUAAUACCGCAUACGAUCUACGGAUGAAAGCAGGGGAUCGCAAGACCUUGCGCGAAUGGAGCGGCCGAUGGCAGAUUAGGUAGUUGGUGGGGUAAAGGCGUCACCAAGCCUUCGAUCUGUAGCUGGUCUGAGAGGACGACCAGCCACACUGGGACUGAGACACGGCCCAGACUCCUACGGGAGGCAGCAGUGGGAAUUUUGGACAAUGGGCGCAAGCCUGAUCCAGCCAUUCCGCGUGCAGGAUGAAGGCCUUGGUUGUAACUGCUUUGUACGGAACGAAAGCUUUCUCUAAUACAGAAGGUCAUGACGGUACGUAAGAAUAAGCACCGACUAACUACGUAGCCAGCUAGACCG
RNAcentral lists this ribosomal RNA (491 nucleotides) under uncultured soil bacterium. RNAcentral describes it as "bacterial SSU rRNA". It matches the Rfam family "Bacterial small subunit ribosomal RNA", at positions 26 to 517 of the family's 1533-position model. The record is from RNAcentral.